Macaca mulatta (Rhesus monkey) is the source of this 1121-nucleotide non-coding RNA. The record is from RefSeq and is a predicted model, not a curated record. NCBI's taxonomy places the organism in Eukaryota, Metazoa, Chordata, Mammalia, Primates, Cercopithecidae.
AGCCUGGGUGAUAAAAGUGAAACUCUGUCUCAAAAAACAAACAAACAAACAAACAAAAGAGUACAAUAAGGACCCCACAUUUGGGAAAAAUAACUGAGCAAAUACAAUGAGCCAGAGGAAAAAAGCUAAGCCUCACACCCUAUUACCUAUCUAUCUCAUUUACUUCUCAACCUGAAACUACUCUUGUGGUCAUGAGCUGUAUGUCUUUUGUUCUCCACUCUAUUCUCAGCACCAAAUGCAGUGCCUGGCACAUGGUGCCCAGGAAAGACUAUUGACUGAAUAACUGAUUUCCUACAACCAGUCUGCAAGGUAGACAUCCUUUUUUUCCCUUUUUUACAGGUGAAGAACUAACGUUGAUGGAAGUUUAGCAACCUUUCCCAAAGUCUCAUAGUGUGUGGAUCAGUGUUAAAAGUGCUUCAUGGAGAAAUGGAGACCUGAAAGGGACUGUGAAGGAGGAGUGGGGCUCAGCAAACAGCAGACAAGUUUCAAUCCAAGCACGCAUUACCCCCCCAACACACGGCAUACGUGCACCUCAUCUCCUCCUGUGUCGCUAAGAAGCUACCCAUAUGUCUGUCAUUAAUUCUUCAGAAUCCUUGGACACACCCUUCUGCAGGGCUUUCUAACAGGAAAUACAAGUCUCAGAUUUUUUUUUAAGUUAAAAUUGAGUACAGCACUCAUACCUUUCUUCAAGCAUGAACUGUCAAUCAACACUGCCUCAUGAGCUACUGCUCUCCUCCUCUUUGAAAAGACAAAUCCUUAUUUCUUUGUGGUGAUCCAGAAGGCAGUGGGAAGAAUCACAGGUGCUUGGUUAUCUUCAAUUUAAUCUCUACCCUUCAAUGGGGCUGGUGCAAGCUAGGGCCAUUUUACUGCACCCAGAGGAAUUUAAGACAUCUCUAUUAUCUCUAAAGAAUCCAGAUUAACAUGCCUUCUUGGUGGGAAGGGAGACCUGCUAUGAAUUCUAGGAUCUUAAUUCAAAUGCUUUCAAAUUCUUACUUCUUGUUCAGUUAAUUACAUAUAUGUCACCACAGUCUUUAGCUUUUUUUUGUUUGUUUUCUAUGCUCCUAAUUUUCUCUGAAACUGUAGCAUUAUUUUAGGGGUUAAUAAAUUUGUAAUUGGAAAAA